GAUAAACGCUGGCGGCGCACAUAAGACAUGCAAGUUGAACGGACUUAAUCGAAAUAUUUAUAUUUUGAAGCGGUUAGUGGCGGACUGGUGAGUAACGCGUAAGGAACCUGCCUAUUAGAGGGGAAUAACAGUGAGAAAUCAUUGCUAAUACCGCAUAUGCCAUAGAUAUCACAUGAUAACAGUGGGAAAGGAGCAAUCCGCUAAUAGAUGGCCUUGGGUCUGAUUAGAUAGUUGGUGGGGUAACGGCCUACCAAGUCGACGAUCAGUAGCCGGACUGAGAGGUUGAACGGCCACAUUGGGACUGAGAUACGGCCCAGACUCCUACGGGAGGCAGCAGUCGGGAAUAUUGCGCAAUGGAGGAAACUCUGACGCAGUGACGCCGCGUAUAGGAAGAAGGUUUUCGGAUUGUAAACUAUUGUCGUUAGGGAAGAGAAAGGACAGUACCUAAGGAGGAAGCUCCGGCUAACUACGUG
This 473-nucleotide ribosomal RNA is filed under the name uncultured bacterium. Its description in RNAcentral is "partial 16S ribosomal RNA". It matches the Rfam family "Bacterial small subunit ribosomal RNA", at positions 28 to 507 of the family's 1533-position model. The record is from RNAcentral.